UACGUAGGGGGCAAGCGUUGUCCGGAAUCAUUGGGCGUAAAGAGCGUGUAGGCGGCCCGAUAAGUCCGCCGUGAAAGUCCAGGGCUCAACCCUGGGAUGCCGGUGGAAACUGUCGGGCUAGAGUCCGGAAGAGGCGAGUGGAAUUCCUGGUGUAGCGGUGAAAUGCGCAGAUAUCAGGAGGAACACCAAUGGCGAAGGCAGCUCGCUGGGACGGUACUGACGCUGAGACGCGAAAGCGUGGGGAGCAAACAGG
This 253-nucleotide ribosomal RNA is filed under the name uncultured bacterium. RNAcentral describes it as "partial 16S ribosomal RNA". It matches the Rfam family "Bacterial small subunit ribosomal RNA", at positions 524 to 776 of the family's 1533-position model. The record is from RNAcentral.